UCUCGUUUGGUCGGGGUCCGUGCUUCUA
RNAcentral lists this small RNA (28 nucleotides) under Bombyx mori (domestic silkworm). RNAcentral's name for it is "piRNA piR-bmo-1908829". The record is from RNAcentral. Lineage: Eukaryota; Metazoa; Arthropoda; Insecta; Lepidoptera; Bombycidae.